RNAcentral lists this ribosomal RNA (424 nucleotides) under bacterium. RNAcentral describes it as "partial 16S ribosomal RNA". It matches the Rfam family "Bacterial small subunit ribosomal RNA", at positions 355 to 776 of the family's 1533-position model. The record is from RNAcentral.
UGAGGAAUAUUGGUCAAUGGGCGAGAGCCUGAACCAGCCAAGUCGCGUGAAGGAAGACCGUCCUAAGGAUUGUAAACUUCUUUUAUACGGGAAUAACGGGCGAUACGAGUAUUGCAUUGAAUGUACCGUAAGAAUAAGCAUCGGCUAACUCCGUGCCAGCAGCCGCGGUAAUACGGAGGAUGCGAGCGUUAUCCGGAUUUAUUGGGUUUAAUGGGUGCGUAGGUUGUUCGGUAAGUCAGCGGUGAAACCUGAGCGCUCAACGUUCAGCCUGCCGUUGAAGCUGCCGGGCUUGAGUUCAGUGGCGGCAGGCGGAAUUAGUGGUGUAGCGGUGAAAUGCAUAGAUAUCACGAGGAACUCCGAUUGCGAAGGCAGCUUGCCAUACUGCGACUGACACUGAAGCACGAAGGCGUGGGUAUCAAACAGG